Long non-coding RNA from Humulus lupulus (European hop), 405 nucleotides. RefSeq lists it as uncharacterized. The record is from RefSeq and is a predicted model, not a curated record. The transcript has 2 exons. Lineage: Eukaryota; Viridiplantae; Streptophyta; Magnoliopsida; Rosales; Cannabaceae.
ACAAGAAAAAGAGAAUGUUGAAGAGGCUAUUUGUAAGGGGCUAGCUGCCGUGUAUUGAGAGAAGGGAGAAGGAGAGUGUGUGAGGUACAGAGAGAAAGAAAAGGGAAGAUGGAGGAGAAGAAAGUGAAGGGGUUCAAAAUUGUACUAGGUAAAGGGAAAGAAAAGCUCACCCAACCGUGAGUCGAAAGCUUAGGUGGUGUUGUGUACAUAUGCGGCCGCUUGACCACCACGGCAAAGGAUUUCUCAGAGGAACUAGGGGUUUACCCUAUUUUGCCGCUUAGAUCGGCAAGUUGUAAAUUUCAAACUGUAAUGACCAUUUUGCAUUGUAAAUAACUUGUAAAUGUUUUUAUGGGCCCAUGAACAGUUUUAUGUUAUAAAUAAAAUAUAUCCUCUCUUUUUGGUUGG